This is a long non-coding RNA of Pseudopipra pipra, 465 nucleotides long. RefSeq lists it as uncharacterized. NCBI's taxonomy places the organism in Eukaryota, Metazoa, Chordata, Aves, Passeriformes, Pipridae. The record is from RefSeq and is a predicted model, not a curated record. The transcript has 4 exons.
CUUUGUGAGACCAAAUUGGCUGGAAUCUGGACCAUCUCCCGAGGGAAGGAGGGACUCUGAAAUGAUUCCAUGCAUUUGCUUCAGCAGGAUGGCACAGACUCAGCACUCCUGAGUCGCGUGGACUGACACUGAUCCCUGCCGAGCCAGGAACAUCUGCUCUAGGGAGGCCGUUCUGCCAGGGCAUGGGAGAAGCUUGAUGGAAAACUCCUGGGACAAGGAGCCACUUCCUUUCAGCUCCACACUUGCAGGAUCAACACUAAGGCUGAGAGACCCAUCGACUUGGUCAGCAGUGACCUUUGAGAGAGCGAAUUGGCUGGAAUCUGGACCAUCUUCCGAGGGAAGGAGGGACUCUGAAAUGAUUCCAUGCAUUUGCUUCAGCAGGAUGGCACAGACUCAGCACUGCAGCAGCACACUGUCCAGUCUGAACCCUGUGCACUGGUAGUAGGGAUGUGAGCGGAAUAUGCU